Molecule: long non-coding RNA, 996 nt
Filed under: Homo sapiens (human)
Lineage: Eukaryota; Metazoa; Chordata; Mammalia; Primates; Hominidae
Description: non-protein coding lnc-TDRD15-7:1
Source: RNAcentral
ACAAGGUUAGGCUGCCUCCCUUCCUGAGCACAUUUUUCCAUGUAUCACUGUGCACAUUGACAGGUAAGUCUCUGCCACUAGGCUGGGUGAGCCAUCGAGGGAGCCUUCUGGCACCUUCUGCAUCUAGCACAGUAACCGACUGGCUCGGGGCACAGGCUCACACCAGGGCCACCUUGAACCCCUUCACAAGGAGAAGGGGCAGUGCUGAGAAGGGCAAGCUGUAGCUGUGGGGACCAAGUUUGUUUGUUUGUUUUUCUUACGAAUGUUCUGAUUAAGCUAGAAACUUCCUGAAGUCAUACAAUUAAUCAGCACCAAAAUUAGAAAUUGGGCAUUUAUGGGGAUCCGUGUCUUAGUUCAGUUUCAGAAUCCAAUUUACCUCCAUAUUUUAUUUUGUUUUCACAGCUUGGAGAAAAUCCUACUUUUCAGUGCUGAGUAGAUGCAAAUGAUUAUUGUUCUGUGACAAUCUGUCUUGUGACCUCAGAGCCCUACAAUUAAUCAGACAAGUGGCAGGAGGAGCUCUGUGAUGAGAUUUCAAAAAAAAAAUGAGUUCAUGUGGUCACACAGUGUUUUAGUUGUUCAUCUGCACGGUGUUAGGACUGGCUAUCUUAUCGAUUGUAUUAAAUCACAGUGUUAUCAAUGACAAAAAAAUUUUUUUGUAUAUUAAGUUUUGAAAUGAAACAUUUCUGAAAUCCAUAAAGUAACUUCAUGGGUCUUUGGGAUCCAAAGCACAUGAUAUGAAAACACUGAAUGAGUCUACCCCUGUACACUACAGAUGAGUAAACUGAGGCCUGGAAUGUGACAAGGACAUAUCCAGGCCCCACAGAGAAUUGUUGGUGGGCUGGGAUGAGAAUUUAGGCCUUCUGCAUCCCACCCAGGCCUCCUUCAACUGUAUUCUCUAUCUCUUUUUCCUAAUUUAUGCUAGUAAAAAAGUGUUUCAUUAUUUUUAAAAAUAAGUUAGACAUUCCAUCUCUGUAGUUUGGUUUAUAGCUGAGGCCU